GAUGAACGCUGGCGGCGUGCCUAAUACAUGCAAGUCGAGCGAACAGACGAGGAGCUUGCUCCUCUGACGUUAGCGGCGGACGGGUGAGUAACACGUGGAUAACCUACCUAUAAGACUGGGAUAACUUCGGGAAACCGGAGCUAAUACCGGAUAAUAUAUUGAACCGCAUGGUUCAAUAGUGAAAGACGGUUUUGCUGUCACUUAUAGAUGGAUCCGCGCCGCAUUAGCUAGUUGGUAAGGUAACGGCUUACCAAGGCGACGAUGCGUAGCCGACCUGAGAGGGUGAUCGGCCACACUGGAACUGAGACACGGUCCAGACUCCUACGGGAGGCAGCAGUAGGGAAGCUUCCGCAAUGGGCGAAAGCCUGACGGAGCAACGCCGCGUGAGUGAUGAAGGUCUUCGGAUCGUAAAGCUCUGUUAUUAGGGAAGAACAGAUGUGUAAGUAACUAUGCACGUCUUGACGGUACCUAAUCAGAAAGCCACGGCUAACUACGUG
Molecule: ribosomal RNA, 497 nt
Filed under: uncultured bacterium
Lineage: Bacteria
Description: partial 16S ribosomal RNA
Rfam family: Bacterial small subunit ribosomal RNA
Source: RNAcentral